Molecule: microRNA precursor, 78 nt
Filed under: Medicago truncatula (barrel medic)
Lineage: Eukaryota; Viridiplantae; Streptophyta; Magnoliopsida; Fabales; Fabaceae
Description: MIR5286 microRNA precursor family
Rfam family: MIR5286 microRNA precursor family
Source: Rfam by way of RNAcentral
AAUAACUCCAGUUGUCCAGUGUUUGAUUUGUAAAACAGUUUCAGGAAGAGGACAAACUGGAGGCAAGGGACAGGACAA